GGACAAGGCCCUCCCAACACCCUUUAAAAGCUGGCUGUGAGUGGCCUAGAGCUUUUUGUAGGGCUGAUGGGACCAUGAGAUGUUAUGUCAUGAAGUACUGUGCCAUGCUGUGCUAUCGCUGAUGCUAUCACAUUCAUUGAGGCUGCAUCCUUCCCCUCCGCCGACGGCUGAAGCCUCCUGGGUGCCUCCCGCAGGCAGAGCUGUCCUGCAGAUGUGGAACGUGCUCCAGAUGUGCCGGGGAGGCGGCGGACUGAGCCCGCGGGAGCAGGGUUGUUUGUUGUGCGUGAGAAUCACAAGCAACUAAACCAAGGGGAGAAAGUUUGAAAUGGUGGUUGUCAGAUAGUAUCACCCUCACACCCUCUGCUGAAUGCUAAUAAGUGUAAGUAAACACAA
Long non-coding RNA from Strigops habroptila (Kakapo), 393 nucleotides. RefSeq lists it as uncharacterized. NCBI's taxonomy places the organism in Eukaryota, Metazoa, Chordata, Aves, Psittaciformes, Psittacidae. The record is from RefSeq and is a predicted model, not a curated record. The transcript is spliced from 2 exons.